GUCGAGGGGUAUGCUUCUUCGGGAGCAGAGACCGGCGCACGGGUGCGUAACGCGUAUGCAAUCUACCUUUUACAGAGGGAUAGCCCAGAGAAAUUUGGAUUAAUACCUCAUAGUAUAAUAGCUCGGCAUCGAGCAAUUAUUAAAGUCACAACGGUAAAAGAUGAGCAUGCGUCCCAUUAGCUAGUUGGUAAGGUAACGGCUUACCAAGGCUACGAUGGGUAGGGGUCCUGAGAGGGAGAUCCCCCACACUGGUACUGAGACACGGACCAGACUCCUACGGGAGGCAGCAGUGAGGAAUAUUGGACAAUGGGCGCAAGCCUGAUCCAGCCAUGCCGCGUGCAGGAUGACGGUCCUAUGGAUUGUAAACUGCUUUUGUACAGGAAGAAACAGUUCUACGUGUAGAACCUUGACGGUACUGUAAGAAUAAGGAUCGGCUAACUCCGUGCCAGCAGCCGCGGUAAUACGGAGGAUCCAAGCGUUAUCCGGAAUCAUUGGGUUUAAAGGGUCCGUAGGCGGUUUAAUAAGUCAGUGGUGAAAGCCCAUCGCUCAACGGUGGAACGGCCAUUGAUACUGUUAAACUUGAAUUAUUAGGAAGUAACUAGAAUAUGUAGUGUAGCGGUGAAAUGCUUAGAGAUUACAUGGGAAUACCAAUUGCGAAAGGCAGGUUACUACUAAUUGAUUGACGCUGAUGG
This 692-nucleotide ribosomal RNA is filed under the name Flavobacterium sp. T17.08.B.RBT.MI.W.Kidney.D. Its description in RNAcentral is "bacterial SSU rRNA". It matches the Rfam family "Bacterial small subunit ribosomal RNA", at positions 61 to 752 of the family's 1533-position model. Lineage: Bacteria; Pseudomonadati; Bacteroidota; Flavobacteriia; Flavobacteriales; Flavobacteriaceae. The record is from RNAcentral.